GAAAUCAUUACACCAGCUGGCCCGUGUGAACUUGGAAGCCACAGGAUCUGAGUGAGCGAAACAGUCAUGGGGAAUUCCUCAGGAAAAGUUCAGGAUUUGUCGGUGCUAAAGUCAGAAAUAACUCAGCUGACACAGGGAGAAAGCUGUGAGAUGGAAUUUUGUGAGGGCAAAGAUCCUGAGGCAGAACUCCACAAACAUUUUGUCCGCUGUAAGAAAAAUCCCGGCCACAAGAAAUUCAUUCCAGUUUCUC
RNAcentral lists this long non-coding RNA (250 nucleotides) under Aplysia californica (California sea hare). Its description in RNAcentral is "uncharacterized LOC101856672, transcript variant X2". Lineage: Eukaryota; Metazoa; Mollusca; Gastropoda; Aplysiida; Aplysiidae. The record is from RNAcentral.